RNAcentral lists this long non-coding RNA (223 nucleotides) under Pelobates cultripes (western spadefoot toad). The record is from RNAcentral. Lineage: Eukaryota; Metazoa; Chordata; Amphibia; Anura; Pelobatidae.
CGGCAAAGCAAUAUUGUAAAGAUGUCCAUUGCAAUCUGAUAUCUAUACUUGCUGCUCUCAAAAAUUCUGAAUAUGUUCAGAGAUUUCUUGGGCAAUAAUAAAUCCCCCCAAAAAACAACAACUUUGCAUUUAUGCUAAACCUGCCUGUUGUAAACGGAUUCUGUAUAUUUCUUGACAUAAGUACUUGUACUUGAAUCUGUUUAACAAAGCUGUUAAUAUUGUG